GCAUCACUAUCAUCUUCAGAACAACCCUUUUCCCCUUUUACAUCUUCACAUGAACAGGAAAUCCUGAUGACCAUGAAAAUAAUAGUCAUAGUGAUGUGCCUGAUUGGACUGUGUUCCUCCAUUUCUGUGUCUUUGGAACAUGUUAGAGAGGAGCGCUCUUCAAGUCAUGAAGGUUACAGAGGUUAUGGAGGGUUCCGCCCCUAUCCUCAGUAUUUCCCCCAGCCUUCCCAGAGUGACACCAACCUAAUGGCCCUGCUGCCCUUACUAUUGGCAAGACGUGCACCGGUUCGUGCACCGGUUCCUGCACCGGUUCCUGCCCUACCUCCCUUACCGGCCCUACCUCCCCUACCUGCCAUACCCCCCUUUCCUGCCAUACCUCCCUUUCCUGCCAUACCUCCCUUUCCUGCGCUACCUUCCUUUCCUGCCAUACCACCCCUACCUGCUCCGCCUGCCCUACCUGCUCUACCUGCCCUGCCUGCUCCACCUGCCCUACCAGCCCUACCAGCCCUACCUUCUUUAGUACCUUUCCUAACUUCCCUACUUGGAAGGAAAUAAAAAUGGGAGUUAAAACAGAA
Molecule: long non-coding RNA, 575 nt
Organism: Esox lucius (northern pike)
Lineage: Eukaryota; Metazoa; Chordata; Actinopteri; Esociformes; Esocidae
Exons: 4
Source: RefSeq, a predicted model, not a curated record